AUGGACUUGAUAAGAACCACCCAUGGCCCCUCUACACACCCUCCUCGGGACCUUUUCGGCCCUCAACUGACCACCAAAAGUGUAGAUAAACUGCAGGCCAGAGAGGCCCAGAGAGACUCUGAGCAGACACUCGUGAGAGCGGCAGAGCAAAAAGCUCCGAUUAACCUACUCACUCAGACCUUCCCGCGAGAGUUCUCCCAGCCAGCCCGCGCCCACCUGACGCCGCCGGGGCUCUGGGAUCGCCUGACGCUGAAGCCCUACCCGCCCUUCAAACCUGCGUUCUUCUGCUCUGAGCACCACCCGUCAGGAUACCAUGAGAAUCCCCCUUCCGUGGCUGACACUUCGCGAGGAGCACCGGCGGAAGGGAAGCACAGACAUCCCUUUGGAUACAUGGAGGUGAGCUGAACUCAAGACGGCGAUCACAGCCAGGAGUUACUUUGCACUGAGGCACCCGGUGACUGGAAUUCUUCAUCUAAGUAAAUGGCAAGAACCUGAAAUAUUAAAUUUUGGCUUGUUAGCCCACAACAACUAUACCUGCCACGAAGUGACUCUCUAUCUCUCUGUCCCCCUCGCGUUCUCUCUCUCGUGUGUUUGUGUGUGUGAGCUCCAAAAGCUGUAGAAAAUGGAAUAAAUGGAAUUUAAAAGGAUAAGUUUAUUUUUGG
Molecule: long non-coding RNA, 662 nt
Filed under: Oryctolagus cuniculus (rabbit)
Lineage: Eukaryota; Metazoa; Chordata; Mammalia; Lagomorpha; Leporidae
Description: lncRNA (ENSOCUG00000030152.1)
Source: RNAcentral